Molecule: ribosomal RNA, 614 nt
Filed under: uncultured bacterium
Lineage: Bacteria
Description: bacterial SSU rRNA
Rfam family: Bacterial small subunit ribosomal RNA
Source: RNAcentral
CCUACGGGAGGCAGCAGUAAGGAAUAUUGGUCAAUGGGCGCAAGCCUGAACCAGCCAUGCCGCGUGCAGGAAGACGGCCCUACGGGUUGUAAACUGCUUUUGUACCGGAAUAAACCCCCGAUCGUGAUCGGGGCUGAAUGUACGGUAAGAAUAAGGAUCGGCUAACUCCGUGCCAGCAGCCGCGGUAAUACGGAGGAUCCAAGCGUUAUCCGGAUUUAUUGGGUUUAAAGGGUGCGUAGGCGGCCUGUUAAGUCAGGGGUGAAAGACGGUAGCUUAACUAUCGCAGUGCCUUUGAUACUGACGGGCUUGAAUGUACUUGAGGUAGGCGGAAUGUGACAAGUAGCGGUGAAAUGCAUAGAUAUGUCACAGAACACCAAUUGCGAAGGCAGCUUACUAAAGUAUGAUUGACGCUGAGGCACGAAAGCGUGGGGAUCAAACAGGAUUAGAUACCCUGGUAGUCCACGCCCUAAACGAUGAAUACUCGAUGUUGGCGAUAUACGGCCAGCGUCUAAGCGAAAGCGUUAAGUAUUCCACCUGGGGAGUACGCCCGCAAGGGUGAAACUCAAANAGAGUAGAGCGUGAGACGUGCCGACGGACGACGACGAGGGAGGAGG